GAUGAACGCUGGCGGCGUGCCUAAUACAUGCAAGUCGAGCGAACAGACGAGGAGCUUGCUCCUCUGACGUUAGCGGCGGACGGGUGAGUAACACGUGGAUAACCUACCUAUAAGACUGGGAUAACUUCGGGAAACCGGAGCUAAUACCGGAUAACAUGUUGAACCGCAUGGUUUAACAGUGAAAGACGGUCUUGCUGUCACUUAUAGAUGGAUCCGCGCCGCAUUAGCUAGUUGGUAAGGUAACGGCUUACCAGGGCAACGAUGCGUAGCCGACCUGAGAGGGUGAUCGGCCACACUGGAACUGAGACACGGUCCAGACUCCUACGGGAGGCAGCAGUAGGGAAUCUUCCGCAAUGGGCGAAAGCCUGACGGAGCAACGCCGCGUGAGUGAAGAAGGUCUUCGGAUCGUAAAACUCUGUUAUUAGGGAAGAACAAAUGUGUAAGUAACUAUGCACGUCUUGACGGUACCUAAUCAGAAAGCCACGGCUAACUACGU
RNAcentral lists this ribosomal RNA (496 nucleotides) under uncultured bacterium. RNAcentral's name for it is "partial 16S ribosomal RNA". It matches the Rfam family "Bacterial small subunit ribosomal RNA", at positions 28 to 506 of the family's 1533-position model. The record is from RNAcentral.